UACGGGGGGAGCAAGCGUUGUUCGGAUUUACUGGGCGCAAAGGGCGCGUAGGCGGUCAGCACAAGUCAGUUGUGAAAUCUCCGGGCUUAACUCGGAAAGGUCAACUGAUACUGUGCGACUAGAGUGCGGAAGGGGCAACUGGAAUUCUCGGUGUAGCGGUGAAAUGCGUAGAUAUCGAGAGGAACACCUGCGGCGAAGGCGGGUUGCUGGGCCGACACUGACGCUGAUGCGCGAAAGCCAGGGGAGCGAACGGG
RNAcentral lists this ribosomal RNA (254 nucleotides) under uncultured bacterium. RNAcentral's name for it is "partial 16S ribosomal RNA". It matches the Rfam family "Bacterial small subunit ribosomal RNA", at positions 524 to 776 of the family's 1533-position model. The record is from RNAcentral.